UUGAAAGGGAAACGAUUGAAGUCAGUCAUGCCGGUGAGAAAUCAGCUCACAGGCUACUGUGAGUGCACUUUUUCGCAAGGCAGGUUAACAUCGGUUUCUGUUGCGUUAUAAUGAUUGUAGGAAGGUGGCUCCCUCGGGAGUGUUAUAGCCUACUUUAGAUGACGCGACGGAGACUGAGGAUUGCAGCGGAUGCCUCUGGCUACGGAUCAUGUCUCUGUCGAUCUUCAAUUGGAUUUCAGCUUGCUGAGGUCUGGUUGAUAGGUUUACAAUAGGUGUGACUCUGUUAAAUUCGCUAAGGAUGUUGACGUA
RNAcentral lists this ribosomal RNA (309 nucleotides) under uncultured Glomeromycotina. Its description in RNAcentral is "LSU rRNA". Lineage: Eukaryota; Fungi; Glomeromycota. The record is from RNAcentral.